GACGAACGCUGGCGGUGUGCUUAACACAUGCAAGUCGAACGGUAAGGCCCUUUCGGGGGUACACGAGUGGCGAACGGGUGAGUAACACGUGAGUAACCUGCCCUCAUCUCUGGGAUAACAGUCGGAAACGGUUGCUAAUACUGGAUAUGAGCUUGCAAGGCAUCUUGUGGGUUGGAAAGAUUUUUUUGGUUGGGGUUGGACUCGCGGCCUAUCAGCUUGUUGGUGAGGUAGUGGCUCACCAAGGCUUCGACGGGUAGCCGGCCUGAGAGGGCGACCGGCCACAUUGGGACUGAGAUACGGCCCAAACUCCUACGGGAGGCAGCAGUGGGGAAUAUUGCACAAUGGACGGAAGGCUGAUGCAGCAACGCCGCGUGCGGGAUGACGGCCUUCGGGUUGUAAACCGCUUUCAAUUGUGACGAAGCUUUUUGUGACGGUAGCAGUAGAAGAAGCACCGGCUAACUACGUG
Molecule: ribosomal RNA, 466 nt
Filed under: uncultured bacterium
Lineage: Bacteria
Description: partial 16S ribosomal RNA
Rfam family: Bacterial small subunit ribosomal RNA
Source: RNAcentral